RNAcentral lists this ribosomal RNA (53 nucleotides) under Microdochium nivale. RNAcentral describes it as "partial 28S ribosomal RNA". Lineage: Eukaryota; Fungi; Ascomycota; Sordariomycetes; Xylariales; Microdochiaceae. The record is from RNAcentral.
GGCACUUUUUAAUGGUUGACCUCGGAUCAGGUAGGAAUACCCGCUGAACUUAA